CAGGUGGUGCAUGGUUGUCGUCAGCUCGUGUCGUGAGAUGUUGGGUUAAGUCCCGCAACGAGCGCAACCCUCGACCUUAGUUGCCAGCAUUCAGUUGGGCACUCUAAGGUGACUGCCGGCUAAAAGUCGGAGGAAGGUGGGGAUGACGUCAAAUCAUCAUGCCCCUUAUGACCUGGGCUACACACGUGCUACAAUGGGCGGUACAAAGGGUCGCGAACCCGCGAGGGGGAGCCAAUCCCAAAAAGCCGCUCUCAGUUCGGAUUGCAGGCUGCAACUCGCCUGCAUGAAGCCGGAAUCGCUAGUAAUCGUGGAUCAGCAUGCCGCGGUGAAUACGUUCCCGGGCCUU
RNAcentral lists this ribosomal RNA (346 nucleotides) under uncultured Anoxybacillus sp. RNAcentral describes it as "bacterial SSU rRNA". It matches the Rfam family "Bacterial small subunit ribosomal RNA", at positions 1035 to 1382 of the family's 1533-position model. The record is from RNAcentral. Lineage: Bacteria; Bacillati; Bacillota; Bacilli; Caryophanales; Anoxybacillaceae.